CCUGGUUACUUGAGCGACUUGGUACCACCCUUUCCCAUCCCGAACAAGGUCGUGAAACGAGUCAGCGCCGAUGAUACUCGCUCCAAAGCGGAGUAGGGGAAAGUAGGUCGUAGCCGGGG
RNAcentral lists this ribosomal RNA (119 nucleotides) under bacterium. The record is from RNAcentral.